GAGUCUGCCAUGUCUAAUGCAGUUCAAGGUGGACUAUCACUACCCAAAAGAUCCAAAAUACUUUGACCUCGGCAAUUGAAAUGUCUCAAGCUACCUCCUCAAUUGAAUCCUGGAGGUGCUGUACAUAAUUCAGUCUUUCUUUUAGAAUAUCUUCAUUCCUCCUCUUGUACAGAUUUCAGUUUCUCAAUAAUGUUAACCUUGUAAUUCCAUGUGCAAGUUAACUUUACCAUCACAGUCUUCAUAUCAAAUAUGGGCUCCCUACAGCUUAAAUUGAUAAAUGAAGUUAUGGUUUAUUAUUUAUAUAAAUAUAAAUAUUUCAACAUCUUGUCUAAAGUGUAAAUUAGUUGUUGGCCUGAGUCUAAAGUGUGAAAAUAGAUAAUUGGAUAAAUGGGGAAGCAAGUGGGGGCUUGGAAGAUUCGAACUAAGAAAAGUUUAAGCAAACAGGUGGAUUGAAAUCAUAUAAAUAUAAAUAUUUCAACAUCUUGUCUCCCGUGCAAGUUGGAUUACAAGCGGCACAGGAAACUUCUGACCAGGGCACUUGGAAUUUGAUUAAUGGGGAGUGGAUAUACAAUCGCAAAAGGGAUAAUAUUGAUUUUGAUACCAAAUGAGAAUUUUAUGUUCUAAAAUUUAAAUUGAUAGAAGAAUGCGUGAUUUAUAUUUAUAUAUUCUAACAAGUUUGAUAUAGCAACAUCACUCUUAUUUCUAACAUGAAAAUGUCUAGGAAUAAUGCUAGCUCAAAAAGAAGAAAGGCUAUCAGAGGCUCACAUUGAUGAGGUGGAAUCGUACGCUUUAAAAGAAGCAAUAGAUAGUUUUUCAGCUAGCAAUCACCCUUGAAAGAGUGCGUAAUAGCUCACUGAGUAAUAGCUCACUGAUGAAGUGUUCUUGUGCCGAAGAUGAACAGGCGGGAAAGGAGGGAAAGUACUUUGUUCCUAGUUUUCUUGUAAUUGUAUCCUUCGGAACUACAAAAAUCCCGAGUUAGAAUGGGAUUCCAACUCAACACCCUAUAGGUUCGGUAUAGCAAUAUCGCUCUUAUUUCUAACAUGAUAACGAUAACAUUCUGUCAUCCCUUUCCCACAUUAAUCUCCACGUGGCACUACCCAGGCACCUAUAAAAUAUAUUUUUCUUUUCUCUCAAGAUGACUUGAAUUAAGGGAUGCAUGUUGGAGACGGGUGAUGCAGAGUAACAUGUCAAUGGGGGCACAUUUCAACGUUCAUCACGUAAAAGUCUAGAAGUAAAACAUCAUAUUGAUUUAAGAUACAAAAGAAGAGAGGGGUUUGACAAAAUCAAUUGCUCGAUAAUAAGACGUCCUUAAUUUGAAGAGACGAUCCUGGUAUUGCUAUUUCAUUAUUAGGUAGUACCGACCAUGGAAUUGACUCGGAGCAAGGGCUUUUCCAUGCUAUCGGCUCGAGAACUCGGUUAGUACUACACUACUACAGGUUGUGCUGGUGGAUUACAGUACUAAUUCACUUCAGAUAGCUGAUUAACUACGGUUCCACCCCUGGAUCAUCGAUAUGAAAAUAUAUGUUGGGAUUAGGUCAGUUUCAAGGUGGCGUAACCUUGAUAUUUUAUUGCACUGUUAUAUGCUGUAUAAACUUUUAAGUUGAAAUUUUAGUGUUGCUUUGAUCAAUGAAUUUGGCAUUUAAAUUUCGGAACCAAUUAAAAAACAAGGACAAAGCACUCCUGUCUGCCUGCUGUAGCUUUCACCUCCUUUCGCUUGGCAACAUUUUAAAAGUAGAAGCAGCCGCAAUACAUUGUAAACAACUUUUUUAGAAGAGCAAAAGUCACUACAAAUCCUAGAUUAUAUCUAUUGUAAUAUAUUUAUCAUAAACUUUUUUCUGUGACACCAAAAAUUUCAAAUUUAUACUUUUGUGACACAUUUAUCAUCCGUUAAAAUUUUUGUUAACAAGAAGCGUUAAAAAUCUGCUUACGUGGAUACUAGAAAGCCAACAAUAUUGACAUUGUGUCUAUGUGACUUAAGUGAAAUACAAACAACAUUAUUUUGGAUAAAAAAAUCAUUUAAUAAAACUUUGACGGAGGAUAAAUCUGUUACACAAAUACAAAUUAAUGGUUUUUUAUGUCAUAAAAAUUUAGGGUAAAUGUGUCAUGGUGGGCAUGAUUUGGGGUUUUUGAUAUUACAAAAAAAAUCAAAAUAAAUGUAUUAUGGUAGAUAUAAUUUGAGGUUUUCUAUGGCUAUUUUCCUUAUAUUUAACCUAAAACUAGAGCCCGAAUAAGUUAUAUGAUUUUUGGAUGGUGAGGGUUAGACUUUCACCAUCUUUAUCCCUUGUUCAUAACCCGACUCCCAAGCUCACUCACUAACUUGAUGAGUUGGUUCAUGGAACUAUCCAUUUUUCAAAUGCAACAAUAUGAGGAGAAAAAAAAAUACUAAAAAUGAAUUUCGAGACAAUUCGGGUAUGUGUCAAUUUGCUUUGGAAAUAAAUGGGUCAAUUUGGUCAGCCCAUAUAUGGCCCGACCGAAUACAUCCAUUUGACUAGCCUACUCAACAUAUAAAAGGUCAUAUGCAUCUUACCUUCCUAAUGUGAUUUUGCUUUCUUCUCAAAAGGUUUAUCUUUUGUUAGAGUUGUAGCUGAUUGCUUUCCUCUCUCACGUACAACAUGCUUCUUUUAUGUCAAGGAGCACGUCGGGCUCAGUAAUUUUCAUUUGUGGCUUGAAGUACAUGUUAAGGUAGGAUGUACAAUAUUACCGAGGUUGGGAUACGAGGAUUGGGUUACGAACCAAGUCAAAAUCACAUUUCAUGAAUAAGAAGAUUAAUGAACGAGGAUAAUACAAUCCUUUUCCAAAUUAUUUGAAUCAAUUUCCCUGAUUCUCCGGGGCCAAAGGAAAAAAAAAUUCCUGCUCUUCCAAUCUCACAAUAUUGCAUGAGGAUCUUAGCCAAAUACCAUCAUAGCAUUCAUAAACAUUGUAUAUAUGUAGAAGGUAUUCAAAAUUAUAACAGUACAACAGAAAUGUUCAUGAUUGAGCCAGCAUUAGGAUCCGCGAAAAAACGAGCACAAAAGUCAUGCGAACCAGAAACUGUCUCUCUACUUUGCAAUGAAUAGGACUGCCAUCAGAAUACAGAGAAGGGUAACUGACCAUGGCAUGUCGCUGAGAACGACAUACAUUAACAGAACGCAUUUGAGACUUUGAAGCCCAGCGUCAAUGACGGUAUACACAAGUUCGAACCUCGGGCCUCCAUCAAGCUCUUCCAUCCUGAUGGCUUUGAGCAGUCCGUAGAAACCCAUGAUUUUCGCACAAGUAUUGUUAGCUGGAACACCCUUCAACUUAAUGACUUCAUCCAGGAACCCCACCAGGGAACGAAGGCGUCGUGUGCGUGGAGCGAUUCGAUCUGCAAGGUCAACUCCAUGCCUUGGAAAUGAAAUUAACACCAGUUGUUAGUAUGCAUUGCAGAGAGUCUAACCUCUGGAUAAACUGCAGGUAUUUAACCCAUCUAGUGAUCCACGGAUAAGCUACUGAAACUCUUCUAUUCGACAAAAUGGAACACCAGAGUACAAAGAAAUACUUCUUAACGCCUACAAACCUUUCCUAUCCUUCUCUUACAACACUUGCUCACAAAACAAGAUCGCCCAGACGCACAGAAUUGCCAGGUAAGCCCCCCUGUUUAUUGGGUAGAAACAGAGUAAAGCUAAUUGCAGGUUUUAUGUUUUCAUAUGAGGAAAAAUUAAUAGGAUUUUCAAUUAAUACGUUGUUCUUAACAUGAGUUUCUGUUGACAAAAGAAACAGUGUGUAUAUACAAUUGUGUCUCUUCAUCAAUGGGACAGAAUUUUCCCUCCUAGAAACAGAGUGUAUAUAUAACCAGACAGGGCCCAUGCUUACUGGGUAGAAGCCAAGUCUUGGCCAGAAUCUGGAAACCGAGCUUUGGGCAUUCAGGUAAAUUAUGAUAAUGGAUAUGAUCAGACAUAGGUUCAGGAAAAAUAAUAAUCAGGAUUUGUCAUAAUAUUGAGGUCGCCGAAGAGGUUAUGAUAAAGCUGAUGUCUGGCCUCAAGUAAAUUAUGAUAUAUGCUUGUUGUCCGGUCUCAAGUAAUUUAUGCGACUGAUUUUUUUUCUGGGAAUGUGCCCAAGUCUCUGUUCUAGCUUCUACUCGAGACUUGAGUAGCUUGUACCCGAGUCUUGCUUUCUAAGUUCUACACCUAGAAUUGGGCUUUCAAGAACUGAGCAAACGAGAUAAAAAUGCAUGGGACAUGGGACAAGUUCACCUAAAAAAAGAUCGGUUUUUUCUUAACAAUUGAGCAUUCACCUAAUGGAAUAUUCACAAUUGACAUGAUCAGACAUGGGUUGAGGAAAUCAAAUAAAAAAUUUGUUGUGAUUUUGAGGUCUCUGAAGAGGUUAUGAUAGCUUGACGUCUGUCGUCCAAAAACUCAGAUCAUACAUGCGAGAUCUCUAUCGCAAAAAAAACGCAGAUCAUAUGUGCUUGAUGUCCGGCUUCAAAUAAGUUAUGAAACUGAGGUCACUAAGGCUUACCUUGGAACAGCGAAAUCUGCUGGCAUCUCCAUUAACCUUCCGACGAUGCCUUCCUGGAGAGGUGGCGAAGGAGAUGAAAUGUGAGAGUAAUGGUUUUGCUCUGGUGCUCGAGGGAAUGGUAGGAAUAGGAGGGCGAGUCGGAAAUUCAAGAGUGCAGUCCUUAUCAUGAACAAAGAAAAACUGCGACCUUUUGUCCUUAAUCAGCCAAUAGAGUCAGUCCCGUCCUUUGCGCCCGGAAGCGAAAGAUUGGUGUUAUAGUAAGCAACCACGUCGGACACCAUGCCAUUAUUUCUUCUCUAUUUUUCUUCUUUUUUUUCCCGUUCUUUUUGUUAAUGAAUCCAGAUUUCUAUACCCGCCUCUUUUAAUGACAUAGGUAUAGGCAGACAAUGGACCUAGAGGUAUAUUCCACCUGAAGAUAGUCAUAUCUGAAAGAGGUUGACAAAUAACAUUUAUAAAAAAAAAUCAUAGAAAAUUUCAAACUAUCGUCACGAUGAUAUAUUUAUUUCGAAUCUUUUUUUAUGUGCCAUAAAAAAAUCUUAAAUCAUGCCCACUGUGAUACAUUUACCCUAUACUUUAAAAAUAAAUAAAUAAAAGACUCAAAAUUUGUACUUAUGUCAAACAUUUACCUUUUGUCACUGUAUAUGAUUUUUCAACCAAAACAAUGUUGUUUUUAUUUCAUUUAAGCCACAUGGGUGCUAUGUCAACAUUGUUUGUUUUCUGACAUUCACGUAGGUAGAUUUUUAACAGUUCCCAUCGAUAAAAUUUUGACAGAAGGUAAAUGUGUCAUACCUCUACAAAUUUUGGGUUUUUGAUAUUACAAAAAUCAUUUGGCAUAAUUGUGUCACAGUUGACAUAGUUUAGGGUUUUUGGUGGCUUUUGCCUUUAUUUAUUUGCCAAACUUUUUUAUUUCUUCCUUUUGGUAAGAGAAACUCAUAUUACUUGCAAUAAAUAUUUGUAUGAUACAUGUAGUCAAAAGAUGAAUCAGCAUUAUCAAUAAAAUGUAGGUGGCACAUUCCCUGCAUGGAUCGUCAAUGGGGCCACUUUAUGCUCCGCCAACUUCUUUUUUGGCUUAGUUAAGGUGCGAUUGAUAACAUUUUUAUUCAAAAAUAGUUUUUUUUUUCUAUUUCUAUUCAUUGAACAAGUUUUUGAGUAGAAUAAUGCGUUUGGUAAUUGUAUAGAAUUUCUACUUCUGAAAGAGAAAAAGAACAUAAAUGCCUUUGGUACAACCUAAUUUUUUUUUUAUUUCCAAUUUCUUUUUUCAUUUUAACAAUAAAAAUGUGAGUGGAGACUUAACAUUUCAUGUUUGGAUAAAACUAGAUUUUCGUAAGGAUUUAAUUGAUCAAGAUAUCCUAAGAUGACCUUAGAAAAUCCAAUGUAAUAGUUAGUCAAAGAUGGAUGGCUGGAGAUGGUAGCAAAGAGUCCCACUGGUUUAUAACUUGCAAUAUUAGGAGGUUGAUAGUAAUCUAUGCGCAUUACAAUUAACAAUUACAUAGACCUUUUGAGCUUUUUUAGCUACAAGAAAAAGAGCAAAUGUUGCUUGGUGGAAUGAGCAAUGACGAAACAAUUGAGGAGGGAGGCAGUCAUAAAGUUGGUGUGCUCAUUUGCACAAACUCAUCAAACCUUCAAGCAAAUGACAUCGGAAAUCCAUGGAUCACAGGGUUAUUCAAUUGCUAUGAACACAAGACAAAUGGUAAUGCAAAUGAAUUACUCAAAGCCAUCUAAUUUUCUAUUAAAACAUAAUUGUAGAUGAUCUUAAAGGAUGUCUCCAAUAGAAUCUUAAGGGAAGUCACUAAGUUUUAACGACCUAGCAUUAUCUUUUUAUAUAUAUAAAACAGCAUUAAAAAAUCUAUAUAGUAAAGCCCUAAAAUCUUAUUCAAUUUUAAACCUAAUUUUCAUCAAAAGAUUUUUACAUUUUUUUAUGCUAAACCAAUUCUAAAAAUAAAAAUUAACAUUAAAAUCUAGUAAAACUACUGAAAAUCUAAAUUCUAAAUUUUUUACUAAUUUCUGAAAUUCUUUAUUAUGGGAACUCAUAUUGAGUUAGGAGAGUGGACCUUGUAUCGAUCAUAUAAAGAUGAGCGUGAGGUUACGUUGAGCUUGCUUUUUUAAGAUGAAUUUAUUUCUUUUUUUAUUCUCGGGAACAAAGAAGUAAGAUUUUUCAACUUCUUAUUUUUAUUCCAAAUCUAUUUUCUGGCUAUACUGGUUUAUUUUUAUUUCUUGGUUAUUGAUAUGUUCUGGGAAAUAGAAAAAUUAGCUGAUGUUACCAAACAAAUUUCUGUUUUUUUUUUUUCCUAUUUUGAGAAACAAAAGAACAGAAAAAUAGAGGAACAUAACGAUUACUAAAUAGGGCAGUAUUGUGUAAUCCUUGUAAGUAAUUUCUUUUUUCCCCCAUUUGUUAAUUAAAUCCUAAUUAAUUAACAUUAUUGCAUUGAUGCACCCAAUGUGAAAUCAGGCUAGCUCCGUCCUUGCCCGCAAUGCACAUAGGGCAUCUCUGUAAUUUAAGGUUUGCGAAAAACUGACCUCUCCGAACGGCCGCUAGAAGAGAGACUAGUUCCCUCGAGACUACCCGCAUUGUCAGUGCUUUUGAAGGCUCGAUGCCGCUCCCCGUCUGUCUGUCCGUCCCUCCCUCUCUCUCUUCCUCUCUCCCUCUCUCUCUACUGUGUCUUGCGGGGUCCAUCAUCCAUCGCCAUUUGCUCCACACUGUAAUCAUAUUUUCAUAUUCUUUCAAGAUUCACUUUAUUGAUUUGACACAGAGACCGAGGCAGAGAGAGAGAGAGAGAGAGAGAGAGAGAGAGAGAGAGAGGAGAGGUCGAAAUGCGAACCUUAUAUUCCUGCAACGAUUCAUUGACUCUUUGGAUAUGAUUUAGGCUAAAUGCAUGGUAUUUUACUGUGCAUUAAAUUUCUUUUUGAAUUUGCAUUAUGUUUUCCUUUUCCUCCUCUUUUCAUCUCGCCAACCUGGCAUGCUCGGGACCGAUGCACGAGUUCGGUCGAGCUGCUUCGAGGCGAAGACUUAUUAGUCUGGGAAGCCAUUUUGGACGUUUGCGGAAAGCUUUUGGGAGCGGGAGGUAAAGGGGGAAGGGGGACAAGUGGAACGCUUCCUUCAGUCGAUUCGGUGCAAAUUGUCCUUUCGUCUUGAUCACGAAACAGCCCCCAAAGGAAGCCGACAAAAAACAUACGAAAAAUCUCUACUCGUCUCUGCGAGUUUUCUCUCUACCUCAUGAUAGCACCCCCCUUUUACAAACCCUAAAUCGCUAAUGUUCUUCCGUAAUCUCUCACCUUUCCCUCUUGUUUUUUAAUUUCCAGUUUCCAAAAACCGAAAAUCAAACAAAGAAAUGUUACUUCGAAGUAAUAUGGCUUGUAUACUCCUCAGCGACUCUCUGGGUGAUCUCAGGACUUCAUCGGCUGUGAUGAUCUUGCAAGGAAGUAUCGUACAGGUGGAGUGUUGAUUUGUCCUGUUCACCGCUCUGGGUUCUGGAUUUGAGUAGAUUAUUAGUCAAAUCUUCGCUGUCUCUGUUCGUCUUCAUUUGAGUAGUUGGUCUGUUGAUGAGAUUGGAGAGGCCGAUGUCAGGAUCUGGAAAUAGCUGAAGCUGGGCUUUCUCGGGGAAGGUCGGUUGGUAGUCAUACUCUGAUUUUGCCUAGAAAAGAGAUAGACAGUUAGUAAAAAUGGAAAGCAAAGAAGAAAAUGAGAUGAGAGUGGCUGCCUUAUGCAAAAGCCUUGGACACCUUUGGUCUGAGGAAGAUGUAGUUGAAGUGUCUGCUGAAAUAACCCCACAGAAAAGGGAGGAAUGUCGACGUACUCUCUAUGUACUCUAGACCCAACGUGAACUAUCCUGCCUUUAUCUAUACAAUGAAGAAAGCAUGGAAAACUGAAGCUGUUACAUGUUCUCAAAAGGAACCAGGUCACUUCACAUUCGUUUUUCAAUCGGAGGAGGAAAAACAACGAGUCAUGAAGACCUCACCUUGGUCAUAUUCUAGCAAUUUGUUUGUUCUGCAACAGUGUCAGCCUGAAGUUGAGCACUGCUAUGAGUUCACUAGGGCAGCAUUCUGGGUGUGCAUUGGAGGAAUUCCCCUUGGCUGGAGAGUAGAAAAAGUGUUAAUUGAUCUGGGCAAAAGGCUGGGAAAUGUUAUAGAAGUUCAACUCGACUCAACUAGCAAUGUUCAGAAUAGAGGAGGUAGAGUAAGAGUUGAAAUUGAUUUGACCUUACCUCUGAAAUCGGGGGCUAUUCUGGAUAUCGGUAACAAAUGGCUAUGGGUGGAAUUUAAGUACGAGCGUCUCCCACAUUAUUGUUACUCUUGUGGUAGAAUCGGAUACUAUGCAACCGACUGUUCUGAAGUCCCAUACGUAACAUCACCCUGGGCAAUGAACAAAAUAGGGUCAUAUGGAUCCUGGCUGAAGGCAGAGGCUCGUGACCAUAUCCCUUACUGGGAUGCUUUCUAUGGGAAAAUUGAUGAAGAGUUUGUAGUGGAAGAGACGGUACCUGUAUCACCCACUCAACCUAGUGGAAUGGACCUUAUAGCUCGAGAGGCAGCAUCUGAUAUGCAAAUUGUAGCCUGCAGCAAAAAAAGAUCAUAAAGCAGUCCAGAACAGGAGGCAAGCCCAGCAAAUGUCCCCAGUGAAGUAGUAGGCCGAGACCAUGGCAAACAGGUAUUAUGCCCUGAAUCCCAAAAACCAAUGUUAUCAAAAGUUGGAAAAUGCAGCAAAAAGAAUAUGAAAGUACAAAAGGCAAAAAAAAUAGAAAUGCAUACCAGAAACAUCUCCUCUCCUUAUAGAUGAUGUAGACCUUCUGGAGAUCUUGAUGAAGUUGAUCAAAGAUGGACACGAGUGGGCUUUUGGUGGUUAGUCCUAAUAAGCCACCACUGAAGCCAUGAAAAUCGUUAAUUGGAAUUGUCAGGGGCUGGGCAACCCUUUGACAUUCCAAGAACUGAGAGCUUUAAUUGCUCUCGAAAGGCCCAGUUUACUUUUUCUCAUGGAGACAAAAAAAAAAAAAAGCAACUCUGGUGGAAAAUGUUUGCAAAAAGUUACAAUUCCAGAACCUCUACUUAGUUAAUCCAACAGGAAUAUCGGGUGGACUGGCUAUAAUGUGGCAAGAGGAAAUUGCUUUAAAGGUGCAAGCAAGUUCAAAGCAGUUCAUAGAUGUGGUGUGUACUGAUCUUGCAAGCAGACAAAUUAUGCAGAUUACCUUUGUCUAUGCCUCUACUGACUUUGGGGAGCGUAUGACCUUAUGGCAACUGUUGGGGACUCUUAAACCUCCAACUCCUAUCCCAUGGAUUUGUAUGGGAGAUUUUAACGAGAUACUGUAUGUAUGGGAGAAAGUGGGGAAAAAAGAAGUGGACAAUAGAAGAAUCGCAGCAUUUAGAAAUAUGCUUAAUGAUCUAUCCCUAAUGGAUGUAGAUAGCCAUGGAUGUGCAUACACAUGGGCUAAUAAUAAGGAAGGGGAAGAUUUGGUCAAAAAGCGACUUGAUAGAGUGCUUUGUACUUUAGAGUGGAGAGUUACCUUUCAUGAAGCAGAAGUCCAGGCUCUUCCAGCCAUCGGCUCCGACCACAGUCCUCUAGUCCUUCGACUAUACCCUGGAGCAAAGAAGAGGAAGAAACAAUUCAAAUUGGAAGCUUUCUGGACAUAGCAUGCAGAAUACCAGGAAGUUAUCCAACAAAUAUGGGCCACAAAACCAAUCCAAAUUUCCUCUUUCUCAGAGAAAUUAUGGGAGACAUCACAAGUAUUAUCAAAGUGGAGUAAAGAGAAGUUUGGUAAUGCCUCUUUGCAGAUAAAAGAGCUUAAUCAAGCCUUAAUAGAAAUUACGAAUCAAACAUUUCAGCAUACAAGUAAGAAGCAAGUGCAGAUCAUCAUCAGUCAAAUAGAAAAACUGAGAAAACAGGAAGAACAGUUCUGGGGAAUGAGAUCACGUAUCAAGUGGUUACAUUGGGGAGACAAAAACACCAGAUUUUUCCAUGCUACAACAAUCCAAAGAAGGCAGAAAAAUCGUGUUACUAUGCUGCAACUAGAAGAUCAUAGCUGGUGCCGAGAUCCAAUUAUUCUACAGAAACAUAUCCAGUCUUUCUACAAGAAUUUAUAAAGGACUGAGGGUCCAAGAAAUUACCAACCUGUCCUAAAUCAAUGCCCAUCCCCAAUAACAGAGAAUAUAAACGAAGAACUGGUGGCAAUACUUUUAUUGGAGGAAAUUCAUGCAGCUGUUUUUCAGUUGGGAGCUUUCAAAGCCCCUGGCCCUGACGGCUUCAAUGGUAUCUUCUACCAACAAUCAUGGGAAACUAUAAAAACUGACCUGAUGUAGCUCGUCCAGGAUUUCUUUCAGAAGAGCAUUCUUGAUCCUCGACUCAACCAGACACACAUAGCUUUGAUUCCUAAAGUUAAAAGUCCUGAAAACAUCAGCCAAUACAGACCAAUUAGUCUUUGCAACUUCAGUUACAAAGUAAUCUAAAAAAUCCUUGCAAACAGACUAAAUAAGUGGUUGCCACUUAUCAUUGAACCAGAGCAGAGUGCUUUGUUCAGGAGAGGCAAAUUCAAGACAACAUCUUCAUAGUACAGGAAGUUCUGCACAACUGCGCAUUAAAAAAAAAGAAGAAGAAAAAACAUCAGGCUAUCUUGAAGCUUGAUAUGUAGAAAGCAUAUGACCGGAUUGAAUGGGACUUUGUGAGGGAUAGUAUGCUGCACAUGGGUUUUUGUGCUAAAUGGGUUUCAUUAAUUAUGCAGUGUAUAUCUACUCUUACUUUCGGCGUGAAAUUCAAUGGAGAACCUACCUCUUUCUUCCAUCCUUCGCGAGGACUCAAACAAGGUGAUCCACUCUCACCCUAUAUAUUCAUCCUGAUUUCCAAUGUAUUGACCUGGCUGAUGAAAAAAGCAUUAGCAGAUGGUAAUAUCAAAGGCAUACAGAUAAAUAGGUCUUGUCCUAAACUGUCACAUCUUCUGUUUGCCGAUGAUGUCAUAUUUUUUAUGGAUGGAACUCUUAUAGAAUGCCAGAAUCUAGCAUAAAUACUUAACCAAUACUGCUAUGCUACGGGUCAAGUAAUUAAUUUAAACAAAUCAUGGAUCUACUUUAGUGUUAACUCCCCUGCAUUAUUAAAAAGCAACAUGGCCACAGAAUUGAGAGUCUCUGUACUAGAGAAAAUAGGCAAAUAUUUGGGCAUACCUACAGAGUGGGGUCAAUCCAAGAAAGAUAUGUUUGCAUGGAUUUUGGCCAGAGUAAAUUCAAAGUUAGAAGGCUGGAAAGAAAAAUUACUCACAAAGGCAGGAAGGAAGUAUUAAUAAUAAGUGUAGUGCAAUCCCUACCUACCUAUGCAAUGUCCAUAUUCAAGCUACCAGUGUCUAUCUGGAGAUCCAUAGAAAAACGAAUUGCGUCAUCUUGGUGGCAGUAUGGUGAUGCUAAACGCGGGAUGCACUGGAAAAGUUGGGAAGUAUUGAAAACCCGAAAGGAUACAGGUGGACUUGGUUUUAAAGAUCUGCUUACCUUUAAUCAAGCCAUGCUUGGCAAGCAAACCUGAAGAUUAGCUAAUUCCCCUUCGGCUUUAUGGAGCAGAGUGCUGAAAGGGAUCUACUUUCCCAAUGGUGAUGUCUAGACAGUUGCUAAGGGACAUCGACCAUCAUGGGGCUGGCAAAGUUUAAUGCUUGGCAGAGACACAAUAAAGAGCAACAUUAAAUGGUCAGUAGGGGACGGGAAUUCUAUUUGUAUUCAAGAAGACAAAUGGCUCUCACAAGGAAUUAUAGGCGGUCAAGCAAACCAAACAGAUCACUUUCUAGUGUCUGAACUGAUCAAUGCAGAAACUAGAAAAUGGAAACAACAAACAAUCCAACAGUUCUACGAUGCAAAUAUUGCUAACAAAAUAUUAGCAAUCCCUCUAAGCCAACAAUCCAAGCCAGAUUCGCUCAUAUGGAAAGGCAACAGAAUAGGGCAGUACUCUGUCAAAAGUGGAUACAACAGAGCCAUUUUAACAACAAGCAUCACAGAUCAUAAUCGACCCUCUUGUUCAUUUCAGCAACCACGCACCUUAUGGACUCAAAUCUGAAGUCUUGACGCGCCACCAAAGGUUCGAACUUUUCUUUGGAGUCUCUGUCAAAACGCCCUCCCUACAAGAGAGAACCUACAUAAAAGGAAAAUUAUUCAAGAUCCAUUAUGCCCGUUCUGCCACUCUAGUAUCGAAACUACAGAGCACCUUUUUUUCUUGUGUAAAUGGACAAGGAAAAUAUGGGAUGACUCGAGAUUUGAUGGGAUCAGACCCAGAAACGGCAUAGAGCGAACAGAUCAGUGGAUUUUCGAAGCUUUUAGAGGAGAUAAGCUCUUACCUGCACGAGAGCUCACUAGUAUGCUUCUGUGGAACAUCUGGAAGGCGAGAAAUAGCUGGAUUUUUCGAGCAAAAUACCCUAGACCAGCAAAUCUACUGAUUUCGGCACAGGAACAACAUAUCUCUUUCAAUCAAGUCGAAACAAUAAUUACGACAACUCACACGAGACAAACUUGAUUAGUGGAGACCUCCGGAAGGACAGGAUCUGAAGCUGAAUGUUGAUGCGGCAUGGUGUUCAGGCGAGUUUUUGUGUUCUGUGGUUGGAGUAGUGCGUGAUUCGUCUGGAAGAGCUGUCGAAGGCUUCGCUUCCACGGCUAGGGUUUCUUCGUUGCACGAAGCGGAAGCUGAGGCGAUUUUACAUGGGAUCUUAUAUACCCAGGAACUUCAAUUGCGACACGUGGGAGACUUCGGAAGUCGAAGAGUUAAGUGGACAAUUGAAAGCGAUUGUUCAGCGGUGGUAGAAAUGGUAGUGGGCCGGGCCGACCCUUCGUGGAACCUAAAUGUAAUUGUGCAGUGUUGCAGGAGUGCGCUAAUUCAAAGCAACAACUGAUAUGGCUAGUAUAAGUACCUAGAGGGGGGGUGAAUAGGUAUAACGAGUAAUUUCUAAUGAUAAUCGCACAAUACUAGACAGUUGAUAGAAAUGAGACAAUUUUUCCUCGUCAAUAAACAAACAACGAUCAAAGUAAGACUGAGAGUAGGGAAGAGAAAAUUGAACACGAGGUUUAUAGUGGUUCGGCUUAUUUUUAAGCCUACGUCCACUCUUCUGCACCGACAGCCCACUGGCUGGAUUCCACUAUGAACAAAGAGAUAUUACAGCACUGUUCUUCCUUGAUUUCUUGGUGUAGAAGAUCUACCACACUCUCUCAAGGUAUCACUAAGUAUAGACUCUCUUUGUGUGUACAGUUUCGCUCAAUAUGAAUUGACUAAUAAUCAAUGAGCUUCAGACUCUGGAAUUUCUCUAUCGAGCACACACUAGAAUAACUGGAACGUCUUAUUUUUAUACUCCUUUAUGCCAUUAUACCCGUUGGCACUUACCAAAGGAAUUCUUCCAAUCUUCCCGUUGGAUAGAAUCAAUUAAGAAGGUCAUUCGAGCUAUUAAAUGAACAUGUCGAUAGCCCAUCAAUCCUGUUUGCCCAUACAAUCAGGAUCUUGGUUUCCAAGAAUAGAACAUUCCAAGAAUAUUUCGUCAAUCAUCGGAUCUUCAACCGAUCUUGAUUUUGAAUAAUUAAUCCGUUGUAUCAAAUCCAGCCAAGAGAUCUUCUCCAGUCGAUAAGAUCAAAUCCUUAACCAAACACUUUAGCUCUGGAUCGCUUUCGUCACUGGAUUAGAAACUGUCAAUGAGAAUAGUCUUGAGUCUUGAGUCUUGUAUGCUGAGUCUGGUGUUCUGAAAGUCUUCAGACUCUAAGUACACGGGUCUGCACAGCUUCCAGACUAGACUGAUAGAAACGUUUUGUCAGCUUCAAAACACUCUAGAGAGAUUUCUCCAACAACAACAUCACGGUGAUCCAUUGCCCACGCGAAGCAAAUGCAGCAGCAGAUUGGCUUGCAUGGAAUCAUCGAGUACAUAAUCUCCCUCUAAAUUGGUUGAAUUCACCCCCGCUUCCUCUAUGGAAUAUUUUAUGUGCAGAUAUUUAUCCAUCUGUGUUAUGUAAGACUUUUCCUUAACCGUUAAUAGCACGUACUAUUUUGACCAAAAAAAAAAAUUUGCAUUAUGUUCAAUCGGCCAUGUUCAGUCGCCCUUUCAUGCUAGAGCGGAAUUGGUAAGAAUUUAAAGCUAUAGUUCUGAUUAUAACUGUAGGGCGCACGUAGCUGCAUACAUCGACGCGCCUAGUUUGUCGUCCAUGUGGAUUCACAUCUUUGGGUUAGUGACUCUGUCCAAGAUGGUGUUAAUUCUCUAUGUGUCUGACGAGUGUGCCCUGUCUAAGGCGGUUCAAGGUGGACUAUCAUUACCCAGAAGAUCCAAAAUACUUUGACCUCGGCAAUUGAAAUGUCUCAAGCUAAAUCCUGGAGAUGCUGUAGAUAAUUCAGUCUUCCUUUUCGAAUAUCUUCGUUCCUCCUCUUGUACAGAUUCCAGUUUCUCAAAAAUGCUAACCUUGCAAUUCCACAUACAAGUUAAACUUUAUCAUCACAACCUUCAUAUUCAAUAUAGGCCCACUGCCUUUUUGGCAGUUCUUGCUUGAAAUCAGAGUUCUUAUGAGGCAGCCACCUUUUUUUUUUUUUUGUCCUUUCGGUUUGAUGCAGCAUCAUCACUCCAUUUCUAACGCGAAAAGGCUCUGUCAUCCUUUUUCCACAUUAAUCUCGACGUGGCACUACCUAGUUCCCAGUAAGAUAAACUUUUUUAUUUUUUCUCAAGGAAUGCAAACCUGAGUCUGGUGACCCGGAGAAAUCAUGUCCAUGGGGGAACAAUUUAAUGUUCACUGCUUUCUGUCUUAGAAGUAACAUUAUAUAGAUUUAAGAUACAAAAGAAGAUAAGGGGUUUAACAAAAUUAAUCACAUCGUAAUAAUCUAAAGGUUACCUUAAUUUGAAGAGAGAAUCCAGGGUUUGCUACCUAGGUAGUACCCACCGUGGGAUUGACUCGGUUGCUAGGGCAUUUUCAUGCUUUCAACUUAAAAAUCGAUGGUUGUGUGUUUGAUUCCUGCCUUGGGAAACUCAGAUUUUCAAUUGUGUGUUCUAUUCCUGCCUUGGGAAACUUGGACUUAAAGUUCGGAGUCAUGCAUUAUUAAUUUCCCUUCAAAUGGCAGAUUGACUCGGUUCCGCCCCUGGAUCAUCAAUGCAAAAAUAUAUGCUGGACUUAUAGGUCAGUUUCAAAUCGUUGUAAAUUUAGCUUUAGGGAGUAUAACCUCGAUACUUUAUUGCACUGUUAUAUAUUGUAGGAACUUUUAAGCUAAGAUUUCGAGUGUUUGAUUAAUGAGUUUGGCAUUUCAAAAUUUCGGAACCAUUUAAUAAAACAAGAAAAGUACCAAGCCCUCCUUAUGUCUGCCUUCUUGAGAAGGCACAACUGCUAAAAUUGCUCUAGCUUUCACCUAAUUUCGCUUGGAAAUGUCAUUGUUAACUUUGUAAAGGUAGAAGCUGUCGCCAAACAUAGUAACUUUUUUAGAACUAGAAGUAGCCGUUUGUUGUCACAAAAUAAUAUCAAAUCAGCACUAACUACGAAUUUUGGAUUGUUAUGACCAGCACAACAUCUCGCUAAUUAUGUUAAGAAUGUUAAGAAUUGAUUGUGAUUUUUCUUUCUUCAUUUUCGUCUAUCGUUUGACAGUUGGGUUUAUUUAGUAUUGCAUAUUUAAAGUCACUUAAGACACGCAAAUAUUUACAAGUAGUGCAUAUCGAUUAGGAAAUUUUCCAAAGUUUAAAACUUGCAAUUUAUUUUUUUGUUCUCAAAGUACAAUUGUUUUUUUUUAAACUAUAAGAGACCUUAAAUGAUUUUUCUUUUUCAAGUUAUUUUUUCCUUCUCGUCGGUGGCUGACUUGUUCAAUCAUUUGGGUAAGGCUAUCUUAUCACAAUAGAUAGGACUGGAUAGAUCAAGGUGAGAUAGCUAGUAUAAGCACCUAGAGGGGGGUGAAUAGGUGAACAAACAAAUUCUCGAUAUACGGAAGCAAUUCUAGGCAAUCGAUAGAAAGGAAAAUACGAUCAAAGUAAAGUAAAGGUUAGGGAAGAGAAAAUUGAACACAAGAUUUAUAGUGGUUCGGCUUAUUCCAAGCCUACGUCCACUCUUCCGCACUGACAGCCUACCGGCUGGAUUUCACUAUGAACAAAAGAGAAGUUACAGCACAGCUUUUCCUUGAUUCCACAGUGUAGAUGUUCUAUCACACUUCCUCAAGGUUUCUCACGAAUAUAGACUCUCUUUUGUUUACACGAUUUUGCUCAACAAAUGAAUUGACUAAGAACAAGGAGCUUCAGACUUUGGAAUUCUUCUAUUGUGCACACUCUCGAAGAACUGGAACGUCUUCCUUAUAUACUCCUUCAUGCCAUUAUACCCGUUGGCACUUACCAAAUGAAUUCCUCCAAUCUACCCAUUGGACGGAAUCAAUUAGGAAGAUCAUUCGAGCUAUUAAAGGAACAUGUCGAUAGCCCAUCAAUCCUGUUCGCCCAUACAAUUAGGAUCUCGGUUUCCAUAAGUAGAACCUUCCAAGUAUACUUUGCCAAUCAUCGGAUCCUUAAUCUUCGAAUCAAUUAUGAUCAAAUAAAGGAUUCCGUUAUGUCAUAUCCAGCCAAGAGCUCUUCUCCAGUCGAUAAGGCCACAUCUUUAAUGAAACAUCCAGUUCUGGAUAGCCUUUUUUCAACGGAUUAGAAACUGUCAAUGAGGAUAGACUUUGAGUCUUGAGUCUGGCUGUCCGGAGGUCUUCAGACUUUAAAUAGCAGAGUCUGCAAGUCUUCAGACUAGACUGAUGGAAACAUUUUGUCAACUUCAAAACACUUCAAGAGGAUUUCUCCAACACAAGGGAAUAAUCACGUGACAUUCUAAAUUUUCCUUCUAUUUAUUAGAUUAGCAAUUAUUGUGUUAUGUUGACAUGAAAUUUCAUACUAAAAUUAAAGAAAGACAUCAUUGGCUUGUCAGAUAUAGAUCUUACGUUAUAUAUAUAGGUAUAUUACAAUACAUAGGGCAUGCUUAGCACUUCAUGAUUCUAACAUUAGAUCUUGCACACAUUGGAUUACAUAAAUUUCAUGAGCAUUUCAUUAUAAUUGCAAAAGUGUCGCCAUAUUAAUGAAUAUUGUGAUAGUGGCAAGAUUACUAUACACCAAAAAUGCCCAAAAUGCCUUUAGGAUACACAAAUAUAAAUUUAUUUAUACAUGAGUCUCCUAUUUUUUCACAAAGACAUUGAUUUUUAUCACCUGUUUCAAUUACAUUCUCUCUCCACUUUUAUAAUCGCAAGCUUUGCGAACUAAAGAUAGGCCACUUAUCGCUCGUUUAACUUGUCACAUCUCAUUCAUUUCAAAUCAUAUGUUUUAGCUAUGCAAAUUAUAUCAUGAAUGACAUCAUUUUUGAAUUCUAGCCCAUUAGCUAGUGUUGAUUUAAUAUUUUCUCGCUUGGUUUUAAGGUGAAUCAAACUCUAUGUUCACGCAAAUCUUUCCAUCCAAGGUAAGUGAAUCUCUAGGGAUAAAGUGGGCUGACCCACUUAGUACUCUUGAUCUUUGUGUAAUUUUAGCUUAAAGUACAUUCUAGAUCCAUGUUAUUUAAGGGAAUAAGUGAUUACAUGAUUAGCUUAUAAGAGGCAAAACUAUAUGUAUGAGUGACUUUAGAUAAGCUUGCACAGUGGUUAUUGCUUUGUCAAUAUAAGAUUAAAAUUAUGUUUACUAAUGCCAUGUAAUUUGCUAUGAGUUAUGAUUUUAUAUGUAUGACUCAUCAUGACUAUAUCUCAUGAAUAAGAACAUGGUCAAGUGAUUUCAAGGUCAAGUGAUUUCAAGAGGAUUUUGAAUGACUUUGAUGAGCAAAAGUGUUAGAGAGAUAGAACCAUGCAUGCAAAAGGGUAAAAUAGUAAUUUUCGCAAUACAAAGGCAAACAUGUAAAUUUACAACAUAUAAAUUCUUAUAUGAAAAAUGAAAUUUUAUUAAAUUUUUUUAUUAGUUAGCUGUUAAGUUAGACUAAUUGAAGGAACUAAAAUCAUGUAAAAAGUCCAAGUAUUGUAAAAUAUGGGCUAUUUUAUAAUUUCAUAAAGUUAGAAGUCUCAUAUCCCAAAACUGAAAAUUAGGGGGGCUGUUUAUUUGUUAAGGAUGCUUAUGAUGGCAGGUUCUUAUGUAAUUAUACAAUUAUUUGUCUAAUCUAGACAAUUUAUCCAACUAGUCAAAAUGUUGACUUAGUUCUGAAAGUAUUUUGAAAAGUUUGUUGUUUUGGUAAUUUUACAAAAUCCGGGACAAAUAUAUAAUGCCAGAAGAUGAUCAUUUGGAACAAGUAGCAAAUGAUAGCAAAUGAGUGGCAUUAGCUAGAGCUAGAUUAAGAGAUAAAUUGAGAUGCGAACUGCAUUGGGAUUGAUGCUAUGUGACUUCCACCAAUGAAAUUAUGUAGCAUGGAGUGGGGAGAUAUUAUGGUCCAUAUAAUUUUUAAAACCUCACUUUAAUAUAUGAAAAUAAUCGAGAGAUUAAUAAAUUGUACAUUGAACUAUCAUGAAAGAAGUUCUUUGUUGAUAUCCUUUGAGACAUGUACAUGGUUAUAUUACUGUUGCUAUACAUACAUGUGAUUCACGCCAUGUACAAGGUGAAAUGAUACUUGGUUUUUAAUGGAAAGUUCGGAAUAACCAUAAACUUAUGUGAUGUGAAUGUUGUGACCUCCUGGAUUGAAUUGUUUUAUGAAUAAUAAUUCGUUGAUUCGUAAAUGAUAAUAACUGGUUAUAUGGUUUACAUUUUUAAUAUGAGAAAUGAUAAGAGAUUAGUGUGAGGACCGUGUGCCCUUUUGAUUUUGCAAUGAAGAUCUUUGGAUGCUAUGCAAUUUAUCGAAUGUCCGGCACGCCCUUUUGGAAUCACUUUGUGUAAGCUAUGCACGCUUAAGCCAUGCUUGACAUGUAGAUGAGAAAUGAUAAUCCAUGUUAAGUAAGCAUACACAAUAUCACAUGUUAGUGUGAUAUCAUAAAUCCAAUCAAUCAUUUCGGACCAUGCAAAAGACGAUAAUCAAUCUUGUGCUUGUACUUGAGAAAAAAUGGUCACUUGAUUGAAUUAUAGAUACAAGAUAGUGCAUCAUGAGUUGCCACUGUUAUUAAACUAGGACAAGUGCUUAAGAAAUAAAAUAUUUGCCUAUGCUUGUAAAGGGUUCGUAUAUUGUCUUCAAUAUAUUGUGCGUGAAUGAAUUUAAACAUUGAUACAUUUUGAUUUUUAUAUCCUCACACAGAAUGCAGCGUUAAAUAAUUAGUAAAAAAAAAAAAAAAAUCAAAAUCUGAAACAUAAAGAAGAGCUGCAAGCUUUGCUGCAGUUGCAGCAAAUUUCAAUUUCUACACUUUACUCAUAUAAAUCGACAGAAGCGCUAUUUCUCUUGGGGUGAAAUCGCGAUCUGGGAAGGAAAGAUGCAGUUCUUCGGGGGCUCCGACAUCAGCCCGUCGCCACCGGCACCAACAGCGGCGGGGCACAACGCGAACGUGAUGUACAUGUUCAACCGGAACGGGGUGUGCCUGUUCUACCGGGAGUGGAACCGCCCCCUCCGGACCCUGAAUCCCCAGCAGGACCACAAGCUCAUGUUCGGCCUCCUCUUCUCCCUCAAAUCCCUCACCGCCAAGAUGGACCCCACCGGGCAUGUACCUUCUCUCCCGAUCUUUCCUCAAAUUCGUGGGGAAGUUGAAUGAAUUCCCGAGUACGGUUGGCCAAUCGCGCGAGGCAUCGGAAAUGGCGGGUCUUGAUCUGUCUGAUAGAAUUUUGCAUCUUUUUGCGUUGUCUUAGGAAUGUAGAUGCCUUUCUGAUGAUCUGCUUUGACUUUGAUUCUUUGACGUAAUUGGUCUCCGAACACUCUCCCAAAUGGUUAAUGCGAUUAAAUGUUGCCGAAAUCGCUGAAAUAAUGACCUUUUGAAUCAUGUGUAUUCAAUUCAGGUACCAUUUGAUGGCAAUCUGGCUUUUUAAUUUGGUAAUUUAGAAGACUCUUGCCAACCAUCAAUCUGCUGUUUUUUUUUUCGGUCAUCUUAUUCCUCAUGCCUUUGCAGAUAAUAUUGGUAACGCAUCCUAGGACUGGUGAUCUACGAGAAACUUUGAAGUAUAUAUACAGUCUAUAUGUUGAAUAUGUGGCUAAAAACCCUCUCUAUGAUCCAGGAACUCCUAUCAGGUGACUGAUGAACUUUUGUUGGUUUAAACUAGUUGAUUAGAUGACGCGCGUCAAUGCUGAUGAUCUAUUAUUUAAAUAGUGUUCUAUAGGGGACCAAUGUAAUUGUUAGUGAAACUCUUCUUUUCGACAAAAUGGAACGCCAGAGUACCAAGAAAUACCUUCUUAAAGCCUACAAACCUUUCCUAACCUUCUCUUACAACACUCGUUCACAAAACAAGAUCACCCAGACGCACACAACUGCCAGGUAAGCCCCUCCGUUUAUCGGGCAGGAACAGAGCAUAGCUAAUUGCAGGUUUUAUCUUUUCAUAUGAGGAAAAGCUAACAAGAUUUUCAAUUAACACAUUGUUCUUAAUAUGAGUUUCUGCUGACAAAAGAAAGAAACAUUGUGUAUAUACAAUUGUGCCUCUUCAUCAAUGUGAUAGAAUUUUCCCUCUUAGAAACAGAGUGUAUGUAUACCCAGACAAGGCCCACGCUUACUGGGUAGAGGCUAAGUCUUGGCUAGAAUCUAGAGACCUAGUCUUGGGCAUUCGGGUAAGUUAUGACAAUGGACAUGAUCAGACAUAGGUUCCGGGAAAAAAAAAUCAGGAUUUGUCAUGAUUUUGAGGUCGCCGAAGAGGUUAUGAUAAAGCUGAUGUCUGGCCUCAAGUAAGUUAUGAAUCUGAGUUUGCUAAAGCUCACCUCUGACCACCGAAAUCUGCCGGCAUCUCCAUUAACUUUCUGACGAUGCCUUCCUGGAGAGUUGGAGAAGGAGAUGAAAUGUGGGAAUUAGGUUUGAUGGUUUCACUUGAGUGCGUGGGGAAACGGAGGACGAAAAUUUGAUGGUUAGGCUUGUUGCAGGGUAAUAUGCUUUUCUGAGGUCUUUUCUGGAAUCUGCUCUUUUAGCAUCGUCAAUACCGAAAGAUGAACCGGUAGAAUAUGAUUACAUACGUCUUGACUUAACUUUUCGCAACUUUAUUCGGUUGAAAAUAUGAUUGUUAGGCCUGCGGCAGGGUUAUAUGCCUUUGAGGGCGUUCGCUUUCAAUAAUGUACUCACUCAGCCUCGCCGAUACCGAAAGACGAAUCAAUAGAAAAUGAUUACUUACGCCUUGACUUGAAUUUUGGGUCGCCACUUUAUCGUGUCGAAAAUUUGAUAAUUAGGCUUGCGGCAGGGUAAUAUGCUUUGAGGGUGUUCUGCUCCUUUGAAUAAUCUGCACUCUUCGCCUCGCCUCGCCUCGCCUCGCCUCGCCUCGCCUCGCCGAUAGGGAAAGACGAAUCAGUAUAAAAUGAUUACUUACGCCUUGACUUGAAGUAACUUCAUCCAGUUCCGCCAAUAUCGCUUCUCUAUAUUUUUUUCCCCCUUCUUUUUUGUUAAUAAAUCCAGAUUUCUAUACACGCGGUUUCUAAUGACAGAGGCAUCGGCAAACAACGUAGUUAGAGAUGUACUCGGUCAGCGUAGAUCUAUCAAGUAACAUCUAGAAAAAAAAAUCAUAAAAAACUCAAAACUAUGCUCAUUAUGACGUAUUUAUCCUACAUAUUUUUAUGUGCUAUAAAGAACCCCAAAUCAUGCAUACUGUGGCGCAUAUACCUUAUAUUUUGUUUUUAAUGUAAAAAACUCAAAACUUGUAACUUAUGUGACACAUUUACCAUUCGUUACUAUAAAUGUUUUUUAAACCAAAGCAAUAUCGUUUCACGUGGGUGCUAUAGCUAUGUCAAUGUUAUUUACUUUCUCACGUUCAUGUAGACAGAUUUUUAAAAGUCCCCAUUGAUAAAAUUUUGACUAAAGGUAAAUUUGUCACAAUAGUACAAAUUUUGGAUUUUUGAUAUCACAGAAAUUUUUUUAGGGUAAUUGUCUCACAGCAGGCAUAAUUUAAGGUUUUUGAUGGCUUUUGCCAUUUUUUAUUAGCUAAACUAUUUUAUUUCUUCCUUUUGGUAAGAGAAACUCAUAUUACUUGCGAUAAAUAUUUGUAAGAUACACGUAGUCAAAAGGCGAAUCUACAUUAUCAAUAAAUGUAGGUGGUGCGUUCCUUGCAUGGAUCGUCAAUGGAGCUACUUUUUGUCCUGCUGACUUCUUUUUUGGCUCAGUUAAUUUUUAUUCCUUGAACAAGUUUCUAGUAGAACAACGUGUUUAGUGACUAUAUAAAAUUUCAAUUCCCAAAAGAGAAAAAGAACAUAAAUGCAUUUGGUAUGGUCCAAAAAUUUUUUAUUCCCAAUUUUUUUUCAUUUUAACUAUAAAAAUGUCAGUGGAGACUUAAUAUUUCAUGUUUGGAUAAAACUGAACUUUUGUAAGGAUUUAAAUGAUUAAGAUAUUCUAAGAUGAUCUUAAAAAUCCAACGUAAUAGUUAAUCAAAGAUGGAUGACUGGAAAUGGUAGCAAAGAGUCGUACGGGUUUAUAACUUGCAAUAAGAGGAGGUUGACAGUAAAUCAAUGCGCAUUAUAAUUGCAUAGGCCUUUUGAGCUUUUCUAGCUACAAGAAAAAGAGCAAACGUUUCUUGGUGGAAUAAGCAAUGAUGAAACAACUGAGGAUGGAGGUGAUCAUAAAGUUGGUGUGCUUAUUUAUACAAACUCAUCAAACCUUCAUGCAAAUGACAUUAGGACUCCAUGGAUCAUAGGGUUAUUCAAUCGCUAUGAACACAAGGCAAAUGGUAAUACAAAUCACUUGUUGAGAGCAUCUAAUUUUCUAUUAAAACAUAAUUGUGAAAAAUCUUUAAAAAAUUCUCCAAUAGAAUCUUAAGGAGAGUCAUCAAGUUUUGGGGACCUAGCAUUGUCUUUAAAAGAAAACGGCAUUCAAAAAUUCAUAUAGUAAAGUCCUAAAAGCUUAUUCAAUUAUAAAUCUAAUUUUCAUCAAUUUUUUUAAACAUUUUUUGUGCUAAACUAAUUCUGAAAUAGAAUUAACAUUAAAAUCUAGUAAAACUACUCAAAAUCCGAUUUUUAAUUUUUUUCCUAAAUUUCUUUUUUUUUUUUUAAUUUUUUUAUUCUAAAAAAUGGGGACUCAAAUCAAGUAAGGAGAUUGGACCUUGUGUCGAUUAUAUAAAGACGAGCAUUAGGUUAUCUUGAGCUAGCUUUUCUAAAACAAGCUUAUUUCUCUUUUUGUUUAUGGGAACAAAGUAGUAGCAUUUUUCAACUUCUUGUUUUUGUUUUGAAUUUAUUCCCUGAUCAUACUAGUCUGUUUCUAUUUCCUGGCCAUUGAUUUGUUUUGGAAAUUAAAAAGAUUUGUUGACAUUACCAAAUGAAUUUUUGUGCUUUUUCUGUUCCAAGAAACAAAAGAACAGAAAAAUAGAAGAGUAAAAUGGUUACUAAAUAGGGCCUUAUUGUGUAAUCCUUGUAAGUAAUUUCCUUUUUCCCCAUUUUUAAUUAAAUCCUAAUUAAUUAACAUCAUCGUAUUGAUGCACCCAUUGUGAAAACAGACUAGCUCCGUCCCCACCCGCAAUGCACAUAUAGGUUAUCUUCCUGCAACGAUCUAUAUAAUCAUUGGAUAUGAUUUUGUGCAUAAAUUUCUUUUUGAAUUUAGGCUUGCGGUUCUAGAUGUGUUCAUGUGAGUACAAGAAGUUUGUAAAAUUAGCUGAUCGAAAUGUAGUGCAUUAUGUUCGAUUGGCUAUAUUCAGUUGACCUUUCAUGCUAGACCGGAAUUGGCAAGAACAUGAAGCUAUAGUUCUGAUUAUAACCGCAGGGCGCACUUAGUUUGUAAAAUCAGCUCAUUGGCGUCCAUCGGGAUUCACAUAUUUGGAUUAGUGACUCGGGUCCAUGAUGGUGUUAAUUCUCUAUGUAUUUGACGAGUGUGCCAUGUCUAAUGCAGCUCAAGGUGGACUAUCAUUACCUGGAAGAGCCAAAAUACUUUGACCUCGGCAAUUGAAUUAUCUCAAGCUACCUCCUCAAUUGAAUCCUGGAGGUGCUGUCCAUAAUUUAGUCUUCCUUUUCGAAUAUCUUCGUUCCUCCUCUUGUACAGAUACCGGUUUCCCAAUAAUGUUAACCUUGUAAUUCCAUGUUCAAGUUAACUUUACCAUCACAGCCUUCAUAUCAAAUAUGGGUUCAUUGCAGCUUGAAUUGAUAAAUGAAGGUAUGGUUUAUUAUUUAUAUAUUUUAAGGCUCCUCCUCAUGUAUAAAUUGGUCGUUAGCCUAAGCCCGAAGCGUGAAAAUAUAUAAUUGGGGAGGCAAAUAGAGGUGAAAAUAUGUAAUUAGGGAGAUAAAUAGAGGCAUGAAAGAUUUGAACUAGAAAAUCUUAAGCGAACAGGUGGAUGGAGACCGCAUAAAUAUAAAGAACAUAUAAGAUUCAUUUUCAAGCGACAUGGGAUAAUAUUUUAAUAUCCUAUCUCAUGUGCAAGUCAGAUUACGAGUAGCACGUAGAACUUUUGACAACGGCACUUCGAAUUUGAUUAAUUGGGGGUGGAGAUACAAUUGCAGAAGGGAUUAUACUGACCUUGAUACCAUGUGAGAAUUUUAUGUUGUUUUGUAAUUUAAGUUGAUAGACAAAUGCGUGAUUUACUAUUUAUAUAUUUUAAUAGGUUUGAUAUAGCAACGUUUUUCUUGUUUCUAACACGAAAAUGUUCUGUCAGCCCUUUUCCACGUCAAUCUCCACGUGGCACUACCUAGGACCCUGUAAGAUAUACUUUUCUUUUCUCUCAGGGUGAUUUGAAUUAAGGGAUGCAUGUCGGAGACGGGUGAUGCUGAGAAUUCAUGUCAAUGGGGGCACAUUUCAACGCUCAUCACCGUAAAAGCCUAGAAGUAACAUCAUAUUGAUUUAAGAUACAAAAGAAGAGAGGGGUUUGACAAAAUCAGUUACACGUAAAUAAGACCUCCUUAAUUCGAAUAGAGGAUCCUGGGAUUGCUAUUUCAAUCUAAGGUAGUAUCCACCAUGGAAUUGACUCGGUAGCAAGGGCAUUUCCAUGCUGUCAGCUUGAGAACUGGGUCUUAAAGUGUAGUCAUGCUGGUGGACUACAGUACUAGUUUCCCUUCAGAUAGCUGAUUAACUACGGUUCAUUCUCUGGAUCAUCGGUAUAAAGAUAUAUGUCGGAACUAGGUCAGUUUUGAACCGUUGUAACUUUAGGUAGCAUAACCAUGAUACUUUAUUGCACUGUUAUAUGCUGUAGAAACUUUUGAGCUAAAAGUUUAGUUGAUCAAUGAAUUUGGCAUUAAAUUUCGGAACCAAUUAAUAAACCAAGUACAAAGCACUCCUUCUGUCUGCCUGCUUUAGCUUUCACCUCCUUUCGCUCGGUAACUUUACGUAAGUAGAAGCAGUCGCAAUUCCUUGAAAAUAACGAUUUUAGAAGAGCAAAAGUCACCAAGAAUCAUAAAUUAUGUCUACAUUAAUAUAUUUAUCCUAAACUCUUUUCCAUAACACCAAAAAUUCCAAAUUUCUACCUUUAUGAUACAUUUACCUUUGGUUAAAAUUCUGUCUAUAAAAACCGUUAAAAAUCUGCUCACUUUGAUGCUGGAAAGCCAACAAUAUUGAUAUGGUGUUCAUGUGACUUGAGUAAAAUGCAAACAACAUUGUUUUGGAUGAAAAAUCAUUUAAUGGAAUCUUGAUGAAGGGUAAAUGUGUUACAUAGAUACAAGUUUAUGAUUUUUUAUGUCAAAAAAAUUUAGGGUAAAUGUGUCAGAGUGGGCAUGGUUUGAAAUUUUUGAUAUUACAAAAAAAGUUCAAGAUAUGUGUCAUAGUAAGCAAAAGUUGAGGUUUUUUGCAGUCGUUUCCUUAUAUUUAACCUAAAACCAUAACAACCGACCAAAAAAAAAAAAAAAAAACCCUAAAACCAGAGCCUAAAUAAGUUAUAUGAUUUGUAGAUGGUGAGGGUCGGACUUUUACCAUCUUCAUCCCUCGUUCAAAACCCGACCCUCAGGUUCUCUCACUAACUUGACAAGCCGGUUCAUGGAAUCAUCCAUUCUUCAAAUGCAACAAUACAAGGAAAAAAAAUGUUAAAAAUGGAUUUUCGGCCGAGUCAAGUAUGUGUCAAGAAAUUUGUUUUGGAAAUAGAUGGGUUAACUGGGUCGGAUCAUUUGUGACUUGACCCAAUCCACUCGUUUGACUACUCCACAUAUAAAAGGUCGUGCACCUUACUUUCUCAAAAGGUUUAUCUUUUGCUAAAGCUGUGGCCGAUUGCCUCCCUAUCUCACAUACAUCAUGCUUCUUUUAUGUCAAGGAGCAUGUCGGCCUCAGUAAUUUCAUUUGUGACUUGAAGUACAUGUCAAGGUAGGACGUAAAAUAUUGCUGAGGUUGGGAUAUGAGGAUUAGGUUACGAACUAAGUAAAAAUCACAUUUUGUGAAUAAGAAAAAUAGUGAACGAGGAUAAUAUAAUUCUCUCUCAAAAUAUUUGAAUCCUUAUUUGAAUCCUUAUUUGAAUCCCCUGAUUCUCUAGGGACAAAGGAGAAAAAAAAAAUUCCCUCUUUCUCCAAUCUCACAUUAUUGCAUGAGGAUCUUAACCAAACCGUAUCACGGUAUUCAUUAGCAUCUUAUACGCUGCUUCAUGACGUAGAAGUUAUUCGAAGUAAUAAUAGUACCACACAAAGUUCAUGUUUGAGCCCAGCAUUACAACCCGCACAAAAGCCAACUUCACAGAGAGCAAACCGCAGCAUCUAGAGAAGCAGAAGCUGUCUCCACUCUCUAAUUCGCAAUGAAUGCGAAUGCCAUCAGAAUACAGAGAAUGGCAAUUGGCCAAGGCAUGUCGCUAAGCAGGAUGUACAUCAACAGAAUACACUUGACACUUUCAAGCCCAGCCUCAAUGAUGGUGGACACAAGUUGGAACCUUGGGUCUACAUCAAGCGCUCCCAUCCUAAUGGUUUUGAGCAGUCCGUAGAAACGCAUGAUUUUUGCACAGGUAUUGUUGGCUGGAACACCCUUCAACUCAAUGAUUCGAUCCAGGAACCCCACAAGGGAACGAAGGCGUCGCGUGCGUGGAGCAAUUCGAUCUGCCAGGUCUACUCCAUGCCUUGGAAAUAAAAUUAACAAACUAGUUGUUAGUAUGCAUUGCAGAGAGUCUAACCUCUGUAUAUACAGCAGGUAUUUAACCCAUCUAGUGAUCCACGGAUAAUUAAGCUACUGAAACUCUUCUUUUCGACGAAAUGGAAUGCCGGAGUACCAAGAAAUACCUUCUUAACGCCUACAAACCUUUCCUAACCUUCUCUUACAGCACUUGUUCACAAAACAAGAUCACCCAGACGCACAAAACUGCCAGGUAAGCCCCCUUGUUCAUUGGGUAGAAACAGAGUAAAGCUAAUCGCAGGUUUUAUCUUUUCAUAUGGGGAAAAACUAAUAAGAUUUUCAAUUAAUACGUUGUUCUUAAUAUGAGUUUCUGUUGACAAAAGAAAGAAACAGUGUGUAAAUACGACUGUGUCUCUUCAUCAAUGUGACAGAAUUUUUCCUCCUAGAAACAGUGUAUACGUAACCAGACAAGGCCCAUACUUACUGGGUAGAAGCUAAGAAGAGGCUAGAAGCGAGAAACUGAGUCUUGGCAUUCCGGUAAGUUAUGAUAAUGGACAUGAUCAGACAUAGGUUCUAGUAAGAAAAUCAGGAUUUGUCAUGAUUUUGAGGUUGCCGAAGAGGUUAUGAUAGCUAGAUGUCCGGCCUCAGGUAAGUUAUGAGAUAUGGUUGACGUCCGGCCUCAAGUAAGUUAUGAAACUGAGUUUUGGUCCGAGAAUGUGCCCAAGUCUCUGUUCUAGCUUCUACUCGAGACUUGAGUAGCUUGUACCUGAGUCUUGCCUUCAAAGUUCUACCCCUAGAAUUGGGCUUUUAAGAGCUGAACAUACGAGAUCAAAAUGCAUGGGACAUGGGACAAAUUCACCUAAAUAAAGGUAAGUUUUUUCUUAAAAAAACAGCAUUCGCCUAAUGGAAUAUGCACAAUGGACAUGAACAGACAUAGUUUCAGGAAAGGAAAUCAGGAUUUGUUGUGAUUUUGAGGUCCUGAAGAGGUUAUGAUAGCUUGAUGUCUGUCCUCAAGUAAUUCAUGUUAAAUGCUUGACGUCCGGCUUCAAGUAAGUUAUGAAACUGAGUUCGCUAAAGCUUACCUCCGACCACCAAAAUCUGCUGGCAUCUCCAUUAGCCUUCCGACGAUGCCUUCCUGGAGAGUUGGAGAAGGAGAUGAAAUGUGGGGCUAAUGGUUUCGGUCGGAUGCUCUGGGAAAAUGAGUACGAAGUUUUAUAGGAAAUGAGGUGGAGGCAAUGGUGGGGGCUUUGAGGGUGCUCUGUUCCUUUUAAUAGAAUACACAAAAAGAACAGCCGAUCGAUUUGAGUAGUGCAGUAGUGCACGAAUGGUGAAAGGGGGUGUGAUUCCUUGAUAAGCUCAUCAAAGUCAAUCUGGCUUCUAGGGUCCCCGAAAGCGAAAGGCUAAUAAUCACUAGGCUAGUAAUCCAUGGAAAGUGCCAGCUUGUGCGAGGACGAAAUUUUAUAGGAAAAACGAGAUGGAGGCAGUGGUGUUUGAGGGUGUUCUGUUCCUUUCAAUAGAAUACAAAAAAAGAACAGCCGAUCGAUUUGAGUAGUGCAUGAAUACUGAAUGGGGGCGUGAUUCCAUGGAAAGUGACUGCUUGUGCGAGGACGAAAUUUUAUAGGAAAAACGAGAUGGAGGCAGUGGUGUUUGAGGGUGUUCUGUUCCUUCCAAUAGAAUACACAAAAAGAACAGCCGAUCGAUUUGAGUAGUGCAUGAAUACUGAAUGGGGGCGUGAUUCCAUUGAAAGUGACUGCUUGUGCAGGGCGAAAUUUUAUAGGAAAAACGAGAUGGAGGUAAUGGUGUUUGAGGGUGUUCUGUUCCUUCCAAUAGAAUACACAAAAAGAACAGCCGAUCAAUUUGACUAAUGCAUGAAUACUGAAUGGGGGCGUGAUUCCUUGGUAAGCUCAUCAAAGUCAAUCCGCUGUUCAGCGUCCCUGAAAGAGAAAGGCUAAUAAUCGAUGGAAAGUGCUUAUUUGCGCCUUGUCGGAUGCUUUAGGAAAAAUAGGUUAGUAAUCGAUGGAAAGUGCUUACUUGCGCCUUGUCGGAUACUUCAGGAAAAAUAGGUUGGUAAUCGAUGGAGACGGGCGGAGGCAAUGGUGGGGGACUUUGAGGUUGUUCUGGUCCUUUCAAUAGAAUAAUACAAAAAAGAGCACUACCCCGUUCCGACGCCAUUAUUUCUUCUCUAUUUUUCGUUUUUUUUCCCCUUCUUUUUGUUAAUAAAUCCAGAUUUCUACACGCGUGGUUUCUAAUGACAUAGGAAUCGGUCGACACCGCACCCCGAGGGAUAUUCGAGCUGAAGAUCUAUCUCUAUCAUAUAUAUGAAAGAGGUCAACAAAUAACAUUUAAAAAAAAAUAUAAAAAACUCUAAAUUGUAUUCACUGGACACAUUUAUUCUAAACCUUUUUUUAUGUGCUAUAAAAAACCUCAAAUCAUGCCCAAUAUACUACAUUUACCCUAUACUUUACUCAAAACUUGUACUUAUGUCACACAUUUACCUUUCGUCAAAAUAAAUGAUUUUUCAAUCAAAAUAAUAUCAUUUUUAUUUUACUUAAGUCACACGCUAUGUCAAUAUUGUUUGCUUUUUGAUGUUCACGUAGACAAAUUUUUAAUGGUCCCUAUUGACAAAAUUUUGAUGUAAGGUAUGUGUUAUACCGCUACAAAUUUUGGGUUUUUGAUGUUACAGAAAAAAUUUUGAGAUAAUUGUGUCGCAGUGGACAUAGUCUAUGAUUUUUGAUGGCUUUUGCCUUUUUUUAUUUGCCAUUUUUUUUUAAUUUCUUCCUUUUGGUAAGAGAAACUCAUAUUACUUGCAAUAAAUAUUUGUGUGAUACAUGUAAUCAAAAGACAAAUCUGCAUUAUUAAUAAAAUGUAGGCAGUACGUUCCUUGCAUGGAUUGUCAAUGGGGCCACUUUCUGCCGCAUCAACUUCUUUUUUGGCUUAGUUAGGAUACGCUUGAUAAUAUUUUUAUUCCAAAAUAUUUUUUUUCUAAUUUUAUUCUCUGGAUAAGUUUUUGAGCAGAAUAAUGUAUUUGAUAAUUAUAUAAAAUUUCUAUUGCCGGAAGAGAAAGAACGUAAAUGCAUUUGGAAUAACCCAAUUUUUUUAUUAUUAUUCAUUUUAACUAUAAAAAUAUCAAUAAUGGAGACUUAACAUUUCAUAUUUCGAUAAAACUGGACUUUUGUAAGAAUUUAAUUUAUCAAGAUAUUCGAAGAUGACUUUAGAAAAUCCAAUGUAAUAGUUAGUCAAAGAUGGAUGGAUGGAAAUGGCAUUAAAAGUCCCACCAGUUUAUAACUUGCAAUAUGAGGAGGUUGAUAGUAAAUCUCUGUGCAUUACAAAAACAAUUGCAUAGACCUUUUGAACUUUUUUAGCUACAAGAAAAAGAAUAAACGUUGCUUGGUAGAAUGAACAAUGAUGAAAUAACUUAGGAUGGAGGCGGUCAUAAAGUUGGUGUGCUUAUGUGUACAAACUCAUCAAAUCUUCAAGCAAAUGAUAUCGAAAUUCCAUGAAUUGCAGAAUUAUUCGAUUGUUAUGAACCCAAGAAAAAUGGUGAUGCAAAUGACUUAUUCAAAGCCAUAUUGAGGCAAAAAAAAGAAGCCAUAUAAUUUUCAAUUAAAACAUAAUUGCAGAUGAUCUAAAGGGAUGUCUCCAAUAGGGGUGUGCAUGGUCUGGACGGGCGGCUCCUGACCUAGAACUGGGAACCGCCCGCUAAGGACCGGUUCCGAAAAAUUGAAACUGGGAUUCACCCGUUAGUUGCAUGGAUCCAUUUGGGAACUGGACCAUCGGUUCGGUCUGGUUCGUGGGUGGGUCAAUGGAAUCUGUUGCUAACUUGUUGUCAAGGGCGAUGGUACCGGAAAAUUGACAUCGGAGGGCCGAAUAGAGAGAUAGUGAAAGGGACGGACGGAUGGACCGUCCAUGGAACCGGAAACCGGACUGGUACUCACCGGUUCCCAUAAAUUGGAAUCACGAACCGGAUCGGUUCUCUCAAGAACCACUGGUUCCAGGUGGUUCGGGCAGGUCUCGGUUCUUUUGCAUACCUCUAGUCAGAGUGGUGAUGCCAUAGUGCUUGGAGUGCAAUGUCAACAUCAUGAAGCUAGAGUAUUCUCCUUAUUUCAAAGACAAUCUAGGAGGAAGUAAUAUGCGACCGCAGAUAAAACAAUGAAGGAUAUUUUGAAAAGUUAACUACAAAAAGGGUGUCUUUAAUCAAAGAAAGUGUAGCUUGUCAAAAAAAAAAAAAUCAAAGAAAGUGUAGAACUAGCACCACCAUUUCUGUAAACAAAUUUUCAUAAACAUAGUAAGUUUCCUUUUUAAAUUCAUUUUUUCGGCUUAUUACUUACAAGUGGGCCCAGCGCCUUGGUACUAAUACAUAAUAUUUAUAUGCCUUCUCUGGUUAGGAGAAAAACUUAUAUCAAUUAUUGAUAUCUAGAACUCUUUAGCUCACUAAAGAUUAAUAUUAAAAAUUAAUAUAUUAUUUUAAAAUAGUCAGUCCGGUCCGGGUGGGCGGGUGGACGGAUCCGCUCAUGGAACCGGGAAUUGGACCGAUACCCAUCGGUUCCCAUAAAUUGGAACUGGGAACCGGACCGGUUCCCUCAGGAACCACUGGUUCCGGGCGGUUCCGGUUCGGUUCCGAGCGGCCUGGGCUCUUUUGCACACCCCUAGUCUCCAAUAGAAUCUUAAGGGGAGUCAUCAAGUUUUCGCGACCUAGCUUUAUUUUUAAAAGAAAACGGCGUUAAAAAGUCCAUAUAGUAAAGCCUUAAAAUCUGAUUCAAUUUUAAAUCUAAUUUUCAUCAAUUUUUUUUUACAUUUUUAUGCUAAACUAAUUCCAAAAUAGAAUUAACAUUAAAAUCUAGUAAAACUGCUCAAAAUCUAAUUUCUAAGUUUUUCCUAAAUUUCUGAAUUUUAUUUAAUUUUUUGAUCCUAAAAAAUUGGGACUUAGAUUGAGUCGGGAGACCAUAUCUUUGUUGAUUGUAUGAAGAUGAGCAUUGGAUUACAUUGAGCUUGCCUUUUCUAAAAUGACCUUACUUCUCUUUUUAUUUUCGGGAACAAAGAAGUAGGAUUUUUCAACUUAUUGUUUUUGUUCCAAAUAUAUUCCUUGACUAAAUUGGUCUGCUUCUAUUUUGUAGCUGUUGAUAUGUUUCGGGAAAUAGAAAAAUUAGCUAACGUUAUCAAAUAGAUUUUUGUUCUUUUUCGAUUCCAGAAAAUAAAAGAACAGAAAAAAAUAGAGGAACAGAACGGUUACUGAAUAGGGUCUUAUUGUGUAAACCUUGUAAGUAAUUUCCUUUUCUUUCCUUGUUAAUUAAAUCCUAAAUCAUUGUAUUGAUGCACCCAAUGUGAAAUUAGGCUAGCUUAUAGGUUAUAUUCCUGCAACGAUCCAUAAACUCAUUGGAUAUGAUUUACGCUAAAUGCAUGGUAUCAUACCGCGCAUUAAAUUUCUUUUUGAAUUUAGACUUGCGGUUCUAGAUGUGUUUAUGUGAGUACAUGAAGUUUGUAAAAUUAGCUCAUUGAAAUGUGGUGCACUAUCUUCGAUUGGCCAUAUUCAGUCGACCCUUCAUGCCAGACUGGAAUUGGUAAGGACAUGAAACUAUAGUUCUGAUUAUAACCGCAGGGCACACAUAGAUGCAUAUACCGACGCGCCUGGUUUGACAUCCAUCGGGCUUCGCAUCUUUGGAUUAGUGACUCUGUCCAUGACGGUGUUAAUUCUCUAUGCAUCUGACGAGUGCGCCAUGUCUGAUGCCGUUCAAGGUGGACUAUCAUUACCCAGAAGAUUCAAAAUACUUUGAUCUCGGCAAUUGAAAUGUCUCAAGCUAAAUCCUGGAGGUGCAGUACAUAAUUCAGUCCUCCUUUUCGAAUAUCUUCAUUCCUCUUGUACAGAUUCCAGUUUCUCAGUAAUGUUAAUCUUGUAAUUCCAUUUACAAGUUAACUUUAUCAUCACAGCCUUCAUAUCAAAUAUGGGCUCACUACCUUUUUGGCAGUUCUUGCUGGAAAUCGGAGUUCUUUUGAGGCAGACAUUUUUUUUUUUUUUGGUUUGAUACAGCACCAUCUCUCCAUUUCUAACAUGAAAAGGCUCUGUCAUCCUUUUUCCACAUUAACCUCGACGUGGCACUACCUAGCACCCAGUAAGAUAUACUUUUGAUUUUUUCUCAAAGUAAUUUGAAUUAAGGAAUGCAUGCCUGAGUCUGGUGACCCAGAUAAAUCAUGUCAAUGGGGGCACAAUUUAACGUUCACCGCAUUCAGUCUUAGAAGUAACAUUAUAUAGAUUUAAGAUACAAAAGGAGAGGGGUUUAACAAAAUCAAUCACAUCGUAAUAAGCUAAAGGUUAUCUUAAUUUGAAGAGAGGAUUCAGGGUUUGUUACCUCACUAUUAGGUAGUACCCACCAUGGGAUUGACUCGGUUGCUAGGGCAUUUUCAUGCUUUCAACUUAAAAAUCGAUGGUUGUGUGUUCGAUUCCUGCCUUGGGAAACUCCGAUUAUUAAUUGUGUUCUAUUCCUGCCUUCGGAAACUUGGACUUAAAGUUCGGAGUUGUGCAGUAUUAAUUUCCCUUCAAAUAGCAGAUUGACUACGGUUCUGCCCCUGGAUCAUCGAUGCAAAAAUAUAUGUUGGACUUAUAGGUCAGUUUCAAAUCGUCGUAACUUUAGCGUUAGGUAGUAUAACCUCGAUACUUUAUUGCACUGCUAUAUGCUGUAGGAACUUUUGAGCUAAGAUUUCAGUGUUGCUUUGCUUAAUGAGUUUGGCAUUUCUCAAUUUCGGAACCAAUUAAUAAAACAAGAAAAGUACAAAUCACUCCUCAUUUCUGCCUUCUUGAGAAGGCGCAAUUGCUACCAAACUGCUCUAGCUUUCACCUCCUCUCGCUCGGAAAUGUCACCGUUAACUUUGCAAAGGUAGAAGGAGUCGCCAUACAUAGUAACUUUUUUAGAACUAGAAGUAGCUGUUUGUUGUCACAAAAUAAUAUCAAAUAAGCACUUACUAAGAACUUCGGAUUACCAUGACCAGCAAAACAUCAUGCUAAUUAUGUUAAGAAUGUUAUGAAUUGAUUGUGAUUUUUCUUUCUUCAUUUUCUUCUAUCGUUUGACAAUUGGGUUUAUUUAGUAUUGCAUAUCUAAAGUCACUUAAGACACGCAAAUAUUUACAAGUAGUGUGUAUCGAUUAGGAAAUUUUCCAAAGUUUAGAGCUGGCCAUAUUCAGUCGACCUUUCAUGCUAGACCGGAAUUGGUAAGAACAUGAAGCUGUAGUUUUGAUUAUAACCGCAGGGCGCACAUAGUCGCAUACAUCGACGCGCCUGGUUUGAAGUCCAUCAGGAUUCACAUCUUUGGAUUAGCGACUCUGUCCAAGAUGGUGUUAAUUCUCUAUAUCUCUGACGAGUCUGCCAUGUCUAAUGCAGUUCAAGGUGGACUAUCACUACCCAGAAGAUCCAAAAUACUUUGACCUCGGCAAUUGAAAUGUCUCAAGCCACCUCCUCAAUUAAAUCCUGGAGGUGCUGUACAUAAUUCAGUCUUUCUUUUCGAAUAUCUUCAUUCCUCCUCUUGUACAGAUUUCAGUUUCUCAAUAAUGUUAACCUUGUAAUUCCAUGUGCAAGUUAACUUUACCCUCACAGCCUUCAUAUCAAAUAUGGGCUGGGCUCCCUACAGCUUAAAUUGAUAAAUAAAGUUAUGGUUUAUUAUUUAUAUAUUCUAUUGCUCCUCACGCG
Molecule: long non-coding RNA, 35066 nt
Filed under: Eucalyptus grandis
Lineage: Eukaryota; Viridiplantae; Streptophyta; Magnoliopsida; Myrtales; Myrtaceae
Description: long non-coding RNA (EGRA_LNC005064)
Source: RNAcentral